Molecule: long non-coding RNA, 304 nt
Filed under: Glycine max (soybean)
Lineage: Eukaryota; Viridiplantae; Streptophyta; Magnoliopsida; Fabales; Fabaceae
Description: long non-coding RNA (GMAX_LNC004155)
Source: RNAcentral
UGAUGUUGAUGUUGAAGAUGAUAUUGAGAUGAAAUGUGGAUGAUGUUGAAAAUGCAUUGUGAUGAUGUAUGCUGUGUAUAUACAUGGGAGGUGCAUUGACCUUGUUGGAUGUCCCUGGUGGGGGAAAUAGAGUGGUUAAAGAGUUUUAAGCAUCUCUGGAGGGGGAUGACUUAAAAUCUUUAAUUAUCCAUGGUCAUGCAUUUGAUGAUGUCCAUGUUUCAUACUUCAUAUGACAUGAAAAUAGUAUAAACUUUGUCAGUAAGUACUUGUAGUUUUUCGUGAGGAGGAAUACUUGUACUAGGGG